Molecule: small RNA, 224 nt
Filed under: Chimaeribacter arupi
Lineage: Bacteria; Pseudomonadati; Pseudomonadota; Gammaproteobacteria; Enterobacterales; Yersiniaceae
Description: SgrS RNA
Rfam family: SgrS RNA
About the family: In sugar transport-related sRNA (SgrS) is induced under conditions of glucose phosphate stress in E.coli.
Source: RNAcentral
AGCCGGUUUUACCGGCGCUAUUUCAACGCCGUCUCGCCGCAAUGGGACUGGCUUGCCUGGAUCCCCUGCCAGCACCGCAUCACGCUGCUCGAACAGCUGAUGCAGUGGCAGACGCCUGCUAUGACCGACGAGCAAUACCACUCACACACCUGACGCACCGGUCAUCCACUUUUCUGAGUAAUGGUGUUUUUCACCAGCCAGCCGGGUUUCCCGCUGGCUUUUUU